RNAcentral lists this long non-coding RNA (236 nucleotides) under Pan troglodytes (chimpanzee). RNAcentral's name for it is "long non-coding RNA NONPTRT010391". Lineage: Eukaryota; Metazoa; Chordata; Mammalia; Primates; Hominidae. The record is from RNAcentral.
UAUUCAAAGCAAGAUCCUACAGAGGAAGACCAGAGCCUGUUAAUCUGUGCAAUGCAGUCUGUACACACUGCUGCCUGAGUCUCAGGUUGUGGUUGGUGGAUGGGACUUUCAACAGCUAAUGUGGGUACUCAGGGGACUCUUUUGAUGAGCUCAGGAUCAAAAGGUCCUGAAUGAGUCAGGUUUCUGGGAAACGGACCUGUGGAUUAAUGGCCUCUAACUGUGCUUUGGCAUGUUAG